GUAGAAAAAAGCCUCACACUGGGGAAAACAAGAAAGCCUGUAAUGGGCAUCGAGGCCGUCGCUGCCAAGUUGCGCCGCCGAGAAGCCGCGAGCUCCGUCCCCGCCGGCGAGCGACUGCGGUGUACGCCCGUCGGCAACGCCACCGACAACGUCCGCCAGCUCUUCUCUUCGCCCUUCAACAUCCAGGUCGCCAACUCCCUCAACCCCUCAGUUUGAGCAUCGAUUUCAGGGAGAAGAAGAGAGAUUUCGAGGAGGGAAAGAUCAGCUCCCGCACACCACCUGUUCGAUGAAAUGCUCAUGACGCGCCACAGCAAUGUGUUCUUCUCCUCUCUUCCCAGCAGCUCGCUGGUCGACACUGACAUCCAUCAAUGUUGACAAGUCACCAGUUCGAUGAAAUGCCGACAGCACUCCGCAGCGAUGUCUUCCUCUCCCCUCUCGCCGGCAAGGAGCCGGUCCACGCUGCCACCCAUCAAUGUUGACAAGGCACCAUCCAAAAGGUUAUCGAGAAGAGGCUAGAGCUAUGAAGGGCAGCGGGACUUGCUGUACAACCAAACUUGCGCACACCAAAGGGAAUUAAAUGUGCUCAACAGACUAUGACUGCAAUGAAGGCUGCCAAUAAAGAGCUGAAAGGGAUGAUGAAGGCUGCGAGGAUUGAAGAUAUGGAUUUGCAUCUGAAUCCAUGCCAACUUUUCAAAUCUGCAGAGCAUGCAGGACGAGAUGGUGGAUCUUAUGGAUGUGAGCAAUGAGAUAAAAUAAACUCUUGGUUGAAGCUACAGUAUCCCAGAUGACAUCGAUGAGGAGGAACUUAUGGGGGGAGCUUGAUGCUUUGGAAGACGAUAUGGACUUUGAAUCGAAUUCGGUUCCAUCGUACCUCCAACUAGACAAGGAGACAGAUAUUGAUUCCGAGCCUAACUUUCCUGUUGCACCAAGUGGUCAUGCCCCGGCAAACCGGCAGCAGGCCUGCUAAACUUCCAACCGCACCAGGCAAACUCCCACUGAAGCUGUUGUUGUUGAUCUUCAAGAACUGUAGUUUCAUGCAGGCCCCUAGUUCCCCAGAACAUGGGAUUUAGCCCAAGGACUUGUGACUGCAGGCAGUGGCUGCAGCGUUUGUUGAAUUGUGGUCAAGACAAAUCCUGGACCGCAGGUUUUGCUGGAAGUCAUGUGUGAGGAAAAUGCUGCAGCUUUUGUGGAAUUCAAGCUCGAGCUGAAGAAAUAGGAAAACCAAACUCAAGUGGCAAAUCCUAACCAAACCCCGCAGAGAAAAGUAGACAGGCACCUAACCUAGCUGAAACUAGCUGCUAAAUUUGCCGCAGAGAGAAGUAGGCAGGCACCUAACCUGUCAGUGUCAGCUGAAACAAGUCUUGUUGGAAGUGAUGGAAAAUGAGGCAAUGGCUGCAAUUGUGGAAUUCAAAGCAAUAGUACAAGGAAACUAAAGAAAAAUUCCAAGCUCAAGUGGGUACUUGAUCUGCUAAAAUUCCAAACUGAGGAAAAACUGCACCAUCUUUUUCUGUACGUCUGCCCAUGUAUCAACAGGCCAAUAUUCCCAGGAGUAUUUGUUACCUGCAUGUGAUGCUCGUGUUGUUGAUGAAUCCAAGGGAAUCAUCAAUUUCGAUCUGCAGGCGUAUGGAACACAAAAUCACAAGAAUCAGAUCCAAGACUCUGCUUUCCUUGUAUUAACUGUGUUCUGCAGUCCAUCUCUGCAAAAAUACAAUAUGGUGCUAUGAUCCUUUUUAUGAAGGACAUACAAAUAAGAUAUACGUGGGAAUAGCAAGCUUGAACAUUUCCCAACAUUUUUUUUAUUGUUGGUUCUCAUAUCCAGCCCGAGAGUCGAUGGAGAAGCAGGGAUCGAAUAAAUUGCCCAUGUAGUCUAAUGCAACAUCAUUUGAUGAAUCCCAAGAUAAUUGAUAAUUGAUGUGCACAGUUGGAGCACACCUUUGGUACACCAGCAAAGUGGUUUGUGUGCUGCUACGGAAAAAACAAAGUGCACAGUCAGAUAGUUGUAAAUCCGGUUCUUAGCAUGCCUGUGAUUGCACUAUACCCGAGUUGAAUCUUUGAGGGGAAGUGGUUUCUACUUCUCUGACAAAAGAACACUAUGUGAUGUCGCUAGUUACUCUUAUCCUGACUGUUAAGUUUGUAUUAGGCAUGAAGAAAAGGAAGGUUGUAUCUUUAUUCCAUGACAAUCUCGCCAACCAAUCCUCGAAACUAUCAAACUAAGUUAGGCUAAAACAGUGAGUUUCUGUGAAAA
Non-coding RNA from Aegilops tauschii subsp. strangulata, 2245 nucleotides. The record is from RefSeq and is a predicted model, not a curated record. Lineage: Eukaryota; Viridiplantae; Streptophyta; Magnoliopsida; Poales; Poaceae.